Molecule: long non-coding RNA, 404 nt
Organism: Rhincodon typus (whale shark)
Lineage: Eukaryota; Metazoa; Chordata; Chondrichthyes; Orectolobiformes; Rhincodontidae
Exons: 3
Source: RefSeq, a predicted model, not a curated record
CGUUGCGCUAAUCUUACUGCUUGCAGUCUCAUUUGCUCCGUGCGUUUAAAUUGCUGCUUUCACGAAAUUUGAAGCUGGAAAACGAAAAGUUCUGGUGGAACAAUAUAAGCACGUGAUAUUAGGCACUGUUUACACUAAAUGGAAUUUAAUUCUGAAAAGUGGGACGCCAGGUAGUACGGAGGAUGCUGGAGAAACUUAGCAGUUCCUUUGCUGAAGUUACAGCGGUUACUUGGGAGAACCCUUGUGGAAAUUCAUACCUCUAGUGUGAGCUUGACCACAAAUCCUACGAUCAAGAGAUCCUGAUUGGUAAGUGAAUGUUCGACGUCGCUGGAAGAGGGUUUUACGUACACAGAAGAGACCCAGAAGUGCAAGGAGGAUGGUCAGACAGGUCACAGACACUGAAC